UCCCUGUUACCAGGGCAGUCUAGCUAGAAAAAUACAACUAACUAUAAGGGUUGCGCUCGUUGAAGGACUUAACCUAACAUCUCACGACACGAGCUGACGACGGCCAUGCAUCACCUGUCACUUGGUUCCUUACGGCACAAUCUCCUUUCGGAGAAAUUCCAAGGAUGUCAAGCCUGGGUAAGGUUCUUCGCUUACCAUCGAAUUAAACAACACGCUCCACCGCUUGUGCGGGUCCCCGUCAAUUCCUUUAUGUUUUAAGCUUGCGCUCGUACUCCACAGGCGGGAUGCUUAACGCGUUAGCUUCGCUACAAGCCGGGUCGAUACGGCUUACAGCUAGCAUCCAUAGUUUACGGCGUGGACUAC
Molecule: unclassified non-coding RNA, 363 nt
Filed under: uncultured bacterium
Lineage: Bacteria
Description: contains 16S-23S intergenic spacer region
Source: RNAcentral